ACUCCACGGGAGGCAGCAGUGGGGAAUAUUGGACAAUGGGCGCAAGCCUGAUCCAGCAAUGCCGCGUGUGUGAAGAAGGCCUGCGGGUUGUAAAGCACUUUCAGUAGAGAAGAAAAGCCUGGGGUUAAUACCUCCGGGUCUUGACGUAACCUACAGAAGAAGCACCGGCUAACUCCGUGCCAGCAGCCGCGGUAAUACGGAGGGUGCGAGCGUUAAUCGGAAUUACUGGGCGUAAAGCGCGCGUAGGCGGCGAGGUCAGUCGAAUGUGAAAGCCCGGGCUUAACCUGGGAAUUGCACUCGAUACUGCCUGGCUAGAAUAUGGGAGAGGGAAGUGGAAUUUCCGGUGUAGCGGUGAAAAUGCGUAGAUAUCGGAAGGAACACCAGUGGCGAAGGCGACUUCCUGGCCCAAUAUUGACGCUGAGGUGCGAAAGCGUGGGUAGCGAACAGGAUUAGAUACCCUGGUAGGCUCUG
This 471-nucleotide ribosomal RNA is filed under the name uncultured bacterium. RNAcentral's name for it is "bacterial SSU rRNA". It matches the Rfam family "Bacterial small subunit ribosomal RNA", at positions 335 to 799 of the family's 1533-position model. The record is from RNAcentral.